Molecule: non-coding RNA, 30 nt
Filed under: Homo sapiens (human)
Lineage: Eukaryota; Metazoa; Chordata; Mammalia; Primates; Hominidae
Source: RNAcentral
UCCCUGCCACACCCCAAGGCGGUUGCCGGA